RNAcentral lists this ribosomal RNA (253 nucleotides) under uncultured bacterium. RNAcentral describes it as "partial 16S ribosomal RNA". It matches the Rfam family "Bacterial small subunit ribosomal RNA", at positions 524 to 776 of the family's 1533-position model. The record is from RNAcentral.
UACAGAGGUCUCAAGCGUUGUUCGGAUUCAUUGGGCGUAAAGGGUGCGUAGGCGGCGGGGCAAGUCUGAUGUGAAAUCCCGGGGCUCAACCCUGGAACUGCAUUGGAUACUGCCUUGCUUGAGUGCUGGAGAGGAGACUGGAAUUUACGGUGUAGCAGUGAAAUGCGUAGAUAUCGUAAGGAAGGCCAGUGGCGAAGGCGAGUCUCUGGACAGCUACUGACGCUGAGGCACGAAGGCCAGGGGAGCAAACGGG